Long non-coding RNA from Homo sapiens (human), 810 nucleotides. RefSeq lists it as uncharacterized. The record is from RefSeq and is a predicted model, not a curated record. The transcript is spliced from 4 exons. NCBI's taxonomy places the organism in Eukaryota, Metazoa, Chordata, Mammalia, Primates, Hominidae.
CAGAUGCUUUACACAGAGAAUAUAUUAAUCGCCUCCACGGAAUACAUAUCAAACAUUUUUACAAAGGUGGAGUCGAGGAAGAAAUAAAAUAGCAAAGAAAAAAAAGAGAUGGAAAAGGAGGGGUGUGUGGCAAGAGCGGGAGAUAGCUAGAUAGCCAAUCAGUGAGUAAAACUGAACCUUAGACCAUCGAUCACAAGGUCUUAACUUCUGUUUGGUUCACCACUUAACAGCAGUGCCAGAGCCUAAACUAUAAACAUGGAGAUAUUUGGAACUUUGGAACCUCUGAGAGUCUAAUGCAUCAGAACUAGCACAGAAGAGGAGUCUUAGAAACCGGAUUCUCAAUCUGAGCUUCAACCCUACCAGCUAGAGAUCCUGAAUUCCACAUAUGAGUGAGAUCAUGCAGUAUUUGUCUUUCUGUGUCUGGCUUGUGUGAUCUCUAUAUUCUCAUUUUGAGUUUGAGACUGUCCUUCAAACACAAAAGGAUAUAGAAACAUAGCCUCCUCCUCAUUUGGGAGAAUACCUUGGAGGCACAAAAAUUCAGCUUAUGCAAGAACAAUGAGAAUAAAAGAGCUAGCAGUAGAGUGAUCUUCCAGAAUUCAAGUAUGAAGACAGCAACAUUCAUCCCUAGCUAAAAGCAUCUGCUUCCACCCCCAGCUCGAUCUCAGGUCAUAGUCCUUUGGAAUUUCAUGGCCAGGACAAUAAUCAACUGGAGAGAAUGUUGCAUUUUGGAACCAGUGUGCCCAGAGUUAAAGAGAAAAAAUUUUAGGCCAGGCAUAGUGGCUCACACCUGUAAUCCCAGCACUUUGGGAG